GGACCCGCACAAGCGGUGGAACAUGUGGUUUAAUUCGAAGCAACGCGAAAAACCUUACCAAGACUUGACAUCUAACGAAUCUUUGUGAAAGCAGAGAGUGCUCUUCGGAGAACGUUAAGACAGGUGGUGCACGGUUGUCGUCAGCUCGUGUCGUGAGAUGUUGGGUUAAGUCCCACAACGAGCGCAACCCUCGUGGUUAGUUGCAUAUAUCGGUACACUGAUAUAUUGCUCUCUAGCCAGACUGCCGGUGAUAAACCGGAGGAAGGUGGGGACGACGUCAAAUCAUCAUGCCCCUUAUGUCUUGGGCUACACACGUGUUACAAUGGCUGGUACAACGAGCUGCCAACUCGCGAGAGUGAGCAAAUCUCUAAAAACCAGUCUCAGUUCGGAUUGCACUCUGCAACUCGAGUGCAUGAAGUCGGAAUCGCUAGUAAACGCAGAUCAGCACGCUGCGUUGAAUACGUUCCCGGGUCUU
This 475-nucleotide ribosomal RNA is filed under the name uncultured bacterium. RNAcentral's name for it is "bacterial SSU rRNA". It matches the Rfam family "Bacterial small subunit ribosomal RNA", at positions 917 to 1382 of the family's 1533-position model. The record is from RNAcentral.